This 492-nucleotide ribosomal RNA is filed under the name uncultured bacterium. Its description in RNAcentral is "partial 16S ribosomal RNA". It matches the Rfam family "Bacterial small subunit ribosomal RNA", at positions 29 to 507 of the family's 1533-position model. The record is from RNAcentral.
AGUGAACGCUGGCGGUAGGCCUAACACAUGCAAGUCGAACGGCAGCACAGUAAGAUCUCGCCCUUAAGGGUGGCGAGUGGCGGACGGGUGAGGAAUACAUCGGAAUCUUCUUUUUCGUGGGGGAUUACGUAGGGAAACUUACGCUAAUACAUCAUAUGUCCUACGGGUGAAAGCAGUGGAUCUUCGGACCUUGCGCGAUUGAAUUAGACGAUGUCGGAUUAGCUAGUUGGCUGGGUAAAGGCCCACCAAGGCGACGCUCCGUAGCUGGUCUGAGAGGAUGAUCAGCCACACUGGAACUGAGACACGGUCCAGACUCCUACGGGAGGCAGCAGUGGGGAAUAUUGGACAAUGGGCGCAAGCCUGAUCCAGCCAUACCGCGUGAGUGAAGAAGGCCUUCGGGUUGUAAAGCCCUGUUGUUGGGAAAGAAAAACAGCAGAUUAAUACCCCGCUGUUCUGACGGUACCCAAAGAAUAAGCACCGGCUAACUUCGUG